Cydia fagiglandana is the source of this 266-nucleotide long non-coding RNA. RefSeq lists it as uncharacterized. The record is from RefSeq and is a predicted model, not a curated record. The transcript is spliced from 2 exons. Lineage: Eukaryota; Metazoa; Arthropoda; Insecta; Lepidoptera; Tortricidae.
UCCUCUCAUGCGCGAGAGGGCUUGGGCUAUAGUCCCCACGCUAGCCCAAUGCGGAUUGGGGACUUCACAUACACCUUUGAAUUUCUUCGCAGAUGUAUGCAGGUUUCCUCACGAUGUUUUCCUUCACCGAAAAGCUAGUGGUAAAUAUCAAAUGAUAUUUCGUACAUAAAUAAGUUCCGAUAAACUCAUUGGUACGAGCCUGAAUUUGAACCCACGACCUCCGGAUUGAAAGUCGGACGUCAGAACCACUCGGCCACCACAGCUUC